Molecule: ribosomal RNA, 253 nt
Filed under: uncultured bacterium
Lineage: Bacteria
Description: partial 16S ribosomal RNA
Rfam family: Bacterial small subunit ribosomal RNA
Source: RNAcentral
UACGGAGGGGGCGAGCGUUAUUCGGAAUUACUGGGCGUAAAGCGUGCGCAGGCGGUUUUGUAAGCCAGAUGUGAAAUCCCCGGGCUUAACCUGGGAAUGGCAUUUGGGACUGCAAGGCUGGAGUGUGGCAGAGGAGACUGGAAUUCCUGGUGUAGCAGUGAAAUGCGUAGAUAUCAGGAGGAAUACCGAUGGCGAAGGCAGGUCUCUGGGCUGACACUGACGCUCAUGCACGAAAGCGUGGGGAGCAAACAGG